GCGAGAGUGGCGGAAUUGGUAGACGCGCCAGAUUUAGGAUCUGGUGGGCGCAAGCCCGUGGGGGUUCGAGUCCCCCCUUUCGCACCA
Molecule: transfer RNA, 87 nt
Filed under: Rhodothermaceae bacterium
Lineage: Bacteria; Pseudomonadati; Rhodothermota; Rhodothermia; Rhodothermales; Rhodothermaceae
Description: tRNA-Leu
Rfam family: tRNA
About the family: Transfer RNA (tRNA) molecules are approximately 80 nucleotides in length.
Source: RNAcentral